Molecule: ribosomal RNA, 119 nt
Filed under: Pteropus alecto (black flying fox)
Lineage: Eukaryota; Metazoa; Chordata; Mammalia; Chiroptera; Pteropodidae
Source: RNAcentral
GUCUACUGCCAUGCCACCCUGAACGUACCCAAUCUCAUCUGAUCUCGGAAGCUAAGCAGGGUCGGGCCUGGUUAGUGCUUGGAUGGGAGACCAUCUAGGAAUACCAGGUGCUGUAGGCG